Podarcis lilfordi (Lilford's wall lizard) is the source of this 81-nucleotide non-coding RNA. The record is from the annotation of a GenBank genome assembly. Lineage: Eukaryota; Metazoa; Chordata; Lepidosauria; Squamata; Lacertidae.
GCCUGGAUAGCUCAGUUGGUUCGAGUGUGGUGCUGAUAAUGCCAAGGUUUCAGGUUUGAUUCCUGUAUGUAUGGGAUGGCU